Molecule: ribosomal RNA, 782 nt
Filed under: uncultured bacterium
Lineage: Bacteria
Description: bacterial SSU rRNA
Rfam family: Bacterial small subunit ribosomal RNA
Source: RNAcentral
AGGGAUGAAGGCCUUCGGGUUGUAAACCUCUUUCAGUAGGGAAGAAGCGACUGGGUUCUCUCAGACGUGACGGUACCUGCAGAAGAAGCGCCGGCUAACUACGUGCCAGCAGCCGCGGUAAUACGUAGGGCGCAAGCGUUGUCCGGAAUUAUUGGGCGUAAAGAGCUCGUAGGCGGUUUGUCGCGUCUGGUGUGAAAACUCAAGGCUCAACCUUGAGCUUGCAUCGGGUACGGGCAGACUAGAGUGUGGUAGGGGUGACUGGAAUUCCUGGUGUAGCGGUGGAAUGCGCAGAUAUCAGGAGGAANNNNNAUGGCGAAGGCAGGUCACNNNNNNNNNUACUGACGCUGAGGAGCGAAAGCAUGGGGAGCGAACAGGAUUAGAUACCCUGGUAGUCCAUGCCGUAAACGUUGGGCACUAGGUGUGGGGCUCAUUCCACGAGUUCCGCGCCGCAGCUAACGCAUUAAGUGCCCCGCCUGGGGAGUACGGCCGCAAGGCUAAAACUCAAAGGAAUUGACGGGGGCCCGCACAAGCGGCGGAGCAUGCGGAUUAAUUCGAUGCAACGCGAAGAACCUUACCAAGGCUUGACAUACACCGGAAUCGGCCAGAGAUGGUCGCGUCUUCGGACUGGUGUACAGGUGGUGCAUGGUUGUCGUCAGCUCGUGUCGUGAGAUGUUGGGUUAAGUCCCGCAACGAGCGCAACCCUCGUCCUAUGUUGCCAGCACGUCAUGGUGGGGACUCAUAGGAGACUGCCGGGGUCAACUCGGAGGAAGGCGGNGACGACG